UGAGAAGUCUGACGGAGCACGCCGCGUGAGUGAUGAAGGCCUUCGGGUUGUAAAGCUCUGUUGUCAGGGAAGAACAUGUGCUAGUUGAAUAACCUGGCCCCUGGACGGUCCCUACCCAGAAAGCCACGGUUACAUACUUGCCACCGCCCGCGGUAAUACAA
Molecule: ribosomal RNA, 161 nt
Filed under: uncultured bacterium
Lineage: Bacteria
Description: partial 16S ribosomal RNA
Rfam family: Bacterial small subunit ribosomal RNA
Source: RNAcentral